This 267-nucleotide ribosomal RNA is filed under the name uncultured bacterium. RNAcentral's name for it is "partial small subunit ribosomal RNA". It matches the Rfam family "Bacterial small subunit ribosomal RNA", at positions 26 to 285 of the family's 1533-position model. The record is from RNAcentral.
AGGACGAACGCUGGCGGCGUGCCUAACACAUGCAAGUCGAACGCUCUCCAUUCAGUAGCAAUACUGAUGAAGAGGGAGUGGCGAACGGGUGAGUACCACGUGAGCAACCUGCCCCGAAGACUGGGACAACACCGGGAAACCGGUGCUAAUACCGGAUAUCCCUAUCGGACCGCAUGAUCUGAUAAGGAAAUGGAUUCCGCUUCGGGAGGGGCUCGCGGCCUAUCAGCUAGUUGGUGAGGUAAUAGCUCACCAAGGCGACGACGGGUA